RNAcentral lists this ribosomal RNA (119 nucleotides) under uncultured bacterium. RNAcentral describes it as "partial 16S ribosomal RNA". It matches the Rfam family "Bacterial small subunit ribosomal RNA", at positions 350 to 485 of the family's 1533-position model. The record is from RNAcentral.
ACCAGUGGGGAAUAUUGCGCAAUGGGGGAAACCCAGACGCAGCAAUACCGCGUGAGUGAAGAAGGUUUUCGGAUCGUAAACUCUUUCACUGGGGAAGAAGAAGUGACGGUACCCAAUGA